CGCUAGUAAUCGCGGAUCAGCAUGCCGCGGUGAAUACGUUCCCGGGCCUUGUACACACCGCCCGUCACACCACGAGAGUUUGUAACACCCGAAGUCGGUGGAGUAACCGUAAGGAGCUAGCCGCCUAAGGUGGGACAGAUGAUUGGGGUGAAGUCGUAACAAGGUAGCCGUAUCGGAAGGUGCGGCUGGAUCACCUCCUUUCUAAGGAUUUUUACAUGACGUACGUUUUGACACUUUGUUCAGUUUUGAGAGUUCAAUCUCUCAUUAAUAAUUGCGCCUACGAUUACUCGGCGCAAAACUGCACGUAGAUAUCACAGUGAUGUUUAUCACGAUGUGAUUGAAGUCAGUUGUUUUGUUCUUUGAAAACUAGAUAACAGUAAUUGCUGAGGAAAAGUGAAACUUUUCUUUAAUCAAACCAAUAAAUACCACAACAUUACGUUGUACCAUUUAUUCGCUAAUGGUUAAGUUAGAAAGGGCGCACGGUGAAUGCCUUGGCACUAGGAGCCGAUGAAGGACGGGACUAACACCGAUAUGCA
RNAcentral lists this unclassified non-coding RNA (536 nucleotides) under Priestia megaterium. Its description in RNAcentral is "Bacillus megaterium partial contains 16S ribosomal RNA, 16S-23S ribosomal RNA intergenic spacer, and 23S ribosomal RNA". The stretch from base 1 to 201 matches the Rfam family "Bacterial small subunit ribosomal RNA", at positions 1333 to 1533 of the family's 1533-position model. The record is from RNAcentral. Lineage: Bacteria; Bacillati; Bacillota; Bacilli; Caryophanales; Bacillaceae.